RNAcentral lists this ribosomal RNA (253 nucleotides) under uncultured bacterium. RNAcentral's name for it is "partial 16S ribosomal RNA". It matches the Rfam family "Bacterial small subunit ribosomal RNA", at positions 524 to 776 of the family's 1533-position model. The record is from RNAcentral.
UACGGGGGGGGCAAGCGUUGUUCGGAAUUACUGGGCGUAAAGGGCUCGUAGGCGGCCAACUAAGUCGGAUGUGAAAUCCCCAGGCUUAACCUGGGAACUGCAUCCGAUACUGGAUGGCUUGAAUCCGGGAGAGGGAUGCAGAAUUCCAGGUGUAGCGGUGAAAUGCGCAGAUAUCAGGAAGAACACCUAUGGCGAAGGCGGCUCUCUGGGACGGUACUGACGCUGAGACGCGAAAGCGUGGGGAGCGAACAGG